GGAAAUUUAAAUAUUUUAUAUGUAUUUUUUAAAUUAGCAACCGACUUUUUAGUUGCUAAAUUAAUUACAAAUGGCAGUGAAUGUAAAAAAUGAUUACAAAAUUACAAAAUUAAAAGCACUAAAUUUUUUUUCAACCAAGUAUAUUUCAAUUGUAAUAAGCAACUAAUUUACGUUGCUAAAUCGAUUACUACUAACAACCAAUAGUUUUUUACUAAAAGUUUUUUUUUUAAGUUUAAUUAAUUUAGCAACGGAUUUGAUUAUCGAUUGCUAUUUGCAAUCGAUUUGAUUAUCUACUAUUAUUUAUAACUAGGCUUAUUGUAACAAAUUGAAUCGGUUGUUAAAUCGAUUAACAACUGAUUUUAAUGGAUUAAUAACCAAUUCGGUCGUUGCUAUUUUUUUUUUUUCUAGUGGUAUAUGCAUUUUCACAAUUCUACUUCCCAGUAAACCUAUUUGACAUGCUUUAUAUACUCUUAGCGAAACUUUCACUAUGCUUAAACAUGAAGAGUAUAAUUAUUUCCUAUUUUCAUCAAUUGCCAUUACCACAAUCCACCGCUAUAACUUAGUCUAUGAGAGAAACAUAUACACUAGUAAGCUAUGGUCUCCAGGUAAUUAAAGUAAUGGGAGAAAAAGGGCAGGCAGAGGCAGGACUUGUGGAUUUAUACAUUUGCUGAUUGGCGAACCUUUUUCAAUCCUUAUUAAUAUUUACGAGUUCUAGGAUGAAAAUAAGUUGCGUUGUCUCUUCUUCUCAGGAGUAGCAUGUACCUGUGCUUUCAUUCCAUAUUCCUUCAGUUGAAAGUUCACAAAUGCUUCAGACACUGCUUCCACCAGCUCCGCCUUCUUAGCGUAAACCCUCACUAUCUUAUCUUGGUAAAAAGAAGGCAGCAAGUGGCUGAUGAGAUGAUCUGGGAUUGAGAAUUUAUCCUCGCUCUCAUAAUCCUGAAAAUUCAUGAGCUAUUAAAAAUCUUUAGGUAGAACAAAAUGGAAUUUUCACAUAAGCAUUAAAUCUUUCAGCUGUUAAAUUUCUGUUAUUAUGAUAUUAACUACCAGAAUGCUGCAAUCAAAAUAAUUGAAACUCGAGUUACCCAAAUAUAUUUUUUAUAUCAUUCACUAUGAAUUCAAGUUGAAAUUCACUGCCAAGCCAAUCCUUUGCUUUGGAAAAGAGACCAAGGACAACAAAAAUUCAAAACAAGAGCAGUGAAAGGGAUCUUAGUACCUUGAAAAAUUUGACGCUGUAUACGAAGAUACAUGCAUGAAGAAAAGAUAAUUGUCAAGUUAAAAAUUGCAGAAGCUAAGUGAACACAAACAAUGACGAGUCUUUCCCAUAUACCUUUCAAGAGGAUUAUUCCUUCCACGUGUCAAAUCAAUCUUAGCAAUGCUCACAGCAACAUCUUCCUCUUUUAGUGUAAUGUGACCAGUUUUCUGGUUAUAAAAUUACUCUUUUGAGACGAUGCUUCUAAUAGACAUGGGCUUGGUUUGGGUUUGGACUGGAACUGAAACCAGACUACAACCAGAUCAAACCAGGAUUUGACUAGAAACAUUUUGAAUCGGAUCGAAACUGGACCGAACCCAGGACCGGAAUUGAGGAGUACCUUUUGGUUCGGUCCAGGUCUCCAACCCAUCAAACCGGAACUGCUUGUCCAAUUCUGGCCUAGAACCGGAACUGCUGGUCCAGUUCUAGCCUAGAACCAGAACCGCGCCCAUGUCUGAUUUCUACUUCUAUGAGGAAGAAAUACUAAUAUGGGAUCUUUUUGGGACCUGGGAGCAAACAAUGUCCUGUGGUGUAAUGUCUUUGAAGUGCUCUAGUUGGUCCUUUGGAACAGAGAACUCAUUGCAGAACUGGUAUAGUUCCCUUCUCCUAAUUCGCUGAACCAAAUCUCUUGCUUCCUUGAGCUCCUCGCUGGAACUAGUUUCGAUAUGUUUCAAUAUAGAGUCAUCUAUCUGCACUUUUUUUAAGGAUAACAUCAGGUCCGACAAAAUACAAAACUCUAAACAAAGUAAAAUUUAAUAAAUGUUUAUGCUAAAAACCUUCCAAAAAUCAUCUGGAUUAUCAAUUUUGUCUGUAAUCUGAAGAUAACCAUUUGCUCUAGUCAAAGCAUCAACAACCAUGAGUUCUAUUGCCUGAUAAAAGAAGUCAAACCCAUUGCAUUUCACCAUUUGGAUGAUGAAAAUGGACUUCUAUUGGCUGAAAAAAGAAUGGCAAACAUAUUGAACCUUCACUUUUGCAUGUGUAUAGACUGUUCGAUGCAUAUCAGCACGUGUUGCAAAUAAUUUGUGGACUGUGAGAUAAUCCUUGGCUCGGUAGCAUAUCUCAUCCUCUAUAACAUGCAUGGUAUCCAUUAACCUCUCAAACUGAAAACUGCAUCCCAGUCCACAAGCACGGGAGUCACGAACAAGGUAAUCAAACCUGAAAAUUAUCAAUGUGUAUUGUCAAAACCUGCAUUAAAAUAAUCCUAAAUAAACAAAUUCAUUAAAAAGAAAACGAAUAGGCAAAAAAAGAAAGACCAACUAACUUGUCAACAUCUAUCCCAUUUCGACCAUUCGCAACAAUAUCAUAUAGGAAUUGCUUUUCAUUCGCAGUCUAUACAGGAAGAGAAUUUUAAUGUAGGCAAAUAGCAUAGUUAGAUAUUUGAGAAAACAAAAAGAGAUGCGAACAAGAAACUGACAAAUUUUACGGUAAAAUGGCUUUACUCUUGGAGAAGCAUGUUCAGUGCUAGCAAUGACCAUCUCCUUUGCUUUCUUUAGAUAUUCACGAUCAAUGUCAAUAUUGUGCUUGUCUACAAUAUAGUCUAUCAUUCUUAUAGACAUGUCCUCAUGAGACCAGUUAAGGCCAUUAAGAACCCGAGGCAGAAACUCUCGUUCAAACAAGUGGCUGAAUGGCCCAUGUCCAACAUCAUGCAAUAGUCCUGCAAGUUUCACUGUUUUUAUAUCGAAGUUAUUAAUAUCAAGCUCCAAGCCUUGGUGAGCUUUAAUUCUGUGAACUGCUUCACCAGCCAGCCAAUAAACACCUAAUGAGUGCUCAAACCGAGAAUGUACAGCUCCUGGGUAAACCAUGUCUACAAGACCUGCAUACAAAUAUAUUUGGUUCAGUAAUUAGAAUUCGGUCCAUGACAUACCUUUAUACAGCAUAAAGACAUUAAUUUCUUGUCAGAGAACAAGUCAUAGAUGCUCUCAGUGCUUAAUCAUUGACAACUUAAAUCCACUUAAGUUAUAUUAUUUGCAGGCAAGGAAAAAAAAUAAAUAUUUUUUUUGUCCAAUUAUAGGUUUGUAACUAAUAAGGAUUCAACCACAGUGGAGAUCAAUGAUUCAAUAUAGAAAUUAUUUGAGCUUGAUAUUAAAUGUAGCAGACACAGUAAAGACAACCUAGAUUCCAUCAUAUAAUCAAAAGCUUAAAAAGGUAUAAAAUUUCAUGGAUGCAAAUGCUUAAGGUUACACUUCCAUAGCUGAUUGCAAAAUGAUUGAAGUGUCCUUUUCUAGAAUGCAGUUAUUUCUACUAUUUUAAUACCAGUAAAGAGUAAAGACAAUGUGACAAAGUACUAACCUGUAGCUGAUCUCAAUUAGUUUGGGAUUAAGUCUUAAUUGUUGUUGGUGACACUGAAAUUAUCAAAAUUCUAGAAUUUUUCUUAAUAAAUUAAUCUAGAAUAGAUCAAUGCUCACCUAGUUGCUUUAGAUCACGAAGUCUGCAACAUUUAAUAAACUUAUCAGAUGAUUUAAACAAUAACUAGGUAGAGAAUCUUCAUGAGAAAUGGUUACAAAAUCAGACUUAC
RNAcentral lists this unclassified non-coding RNA (3764 nucleotides) under Hevea brasiliensis (rubber tree). The record is from RNAcentral. Lineage: Eukaryota; Viridiplantae; Streptophyta; Magnoliopsida; Malpighiales; Euphorbiaceae.